GGAGGGGUGCCCGCGCAGCGGGCGGGGUGGUUCGUGCGCAGCGCGCCCGCUUUCCAAAAGCGGUGCCCGCGCGGCGAGCAGUGUGGUUCGCGUCCCGUUCCCCUCCU
This 107-nucleotide transfer RNA is filed under the name Burkholderiales bacterium. RNAcentral's name for it is "tRNA-Trp". The record is from RNAcentral. Lineage: Bacteria; Pseudomonadati; Pseudomonadota; Betaproteobacteria; Burkholderiales.